Molecule: non-coding RNA, 101 nt
Organism: Glycine max (soybean)
Lineage: Eukaryota; Viridiplantae; Streptophyta; Magnoliopsida; Fabales; Fabaceae
Source: Rfam
AGGCCAUGAGCUAGACAUUGUUUAAAUAGACUAUUAAACCACUCCCAAGCUUCACAAAGGGGCUCAUCAACUCCUUGAGUGAAAGUAGCAAUCACUGGCUU